AAUGAACGCUGGCGGCAGGCCUAACACAUGCAAGUCGAACGCGUGGCGGACGGGUGAGUCAGGUCUGGGAAACUGCCUGCUGGAGGGGGAUAACUACUGGAAACGGUAGCUACUACCGCAUACCAUAAGCUGAGACAAGAUGGGAUAGCUUGUUGGUGGGGUAACUGCUCACCAAGGCGACGAUUCCUAGCUGGCCUGAGAGGAUGACCAGCCACACUGGAACUGAGACACGGUCCAGACUCCUACGGGAGGCAGCAGUGGUGAAUAUUGCACAAUGGGCGCAAGCCUGAUGCAGCCAUGCCGCGGGUAUGAAGAAGGCCUUCGGGUUGUAAAGUACUGUCAGCGGGGAGGCGUUACCCGCAGAAGAAGCACCGGCUAACUCCGUGUCAGCAGCCGCGGUAAUAC
Molecule: ribosomal RNA, 405 nt
Filed under: uncultured bacterium
Lineage: Bacteria
Description: partial 16S ribosomal RNA
Rfam family: Bacterial small subunit ribosomal RNA
Source: RNAcentral